Molecule: RNA transcript, 1630 nt
Organism: Haliaeetus leucocephalus (bald eagle)
Lineage: Eukaryota; Metazoa; Chordata; Aves; Accipitriformes; Accipitridae
Gene: ATPAF2
Gene name: ATP synthase mitochondrial F1 complex assembly factor 2
Exons: 8
Source: RefSeq, a predicted model, not a curated record
GACAAAACGCGUUCGGCGGAGCGGAUUGGUUGUCGUUACGGUAACAUGGCGGCGCCCGCUGUGCCGCGCUGAGCCCGGCAGGACGGUGGCGGUCGCUUCUUCUCUCGCCGCGAUGUUGAGCGGUUGCCGCCGGUUGCUGUGGGGCCGCUUCUCGACCGCCCGGUUCCCCCGACCGCCUCCUGCCGCUGCCGGGAGCGGUCCGGUGGGGCCGGGCGGGGGUCGGGCUUACGCCCCACCGGCAGAGAGGAAGCGGUUUUACCAGAACGUGAGCAUCUCACAAGGAGAAGGAGGCUUUGAAAUAAACCUGGACCACCGAAAGCUGAAAACGCCCCAGGGCAAGCUCUUCACUGUCCCCAGUGAAGUCUUGGCCAUUGCAGUGGCAACAGAAUGGGACUCCCAGAAAGACACCAUCAAGUUCUACACUAUGCAUCUGACCACACUGUGCAACACAGCGCUGGACAAUCCCACGCAGCGAAACAAAAUGCAGCUGAUCCGUGCGGCUGUGAAGUUCCUGGAGACUGACACUGUCUGCUACCGUGUGGAGGAGCCAGCCGCCUUGGCAGAGCUGCAGAGGGAUGAAUGGGAUCCUGUUGUUGCCUGGGCUGAGAAAAGGUACAACGUGGCAAUUGGCUCCUCGACCAGCAUCCUGGGGCCAAACAUUCCAGCCAGCACCAAGGAGACCUUCGUCAGCCAUCUGGCGUCCUACAACGUGUGGGCCCUGCAAGAUCUGAUGCUUAAGUGCCCAGAUGCAAGUGGGAGGAUCACUGGCCCUGUGAUCCCCCUGAGGAGGCACCACACCCUGACUGUCUGUUCAGAGCAUGUGAAGAUGCUGCUGUAAUGCUGCAGAAAACAACCAUGAAUCUUGUUCAUUUUGGGUUAUUCCCUUCCAGGUAUAGAAUAUGUAAUCACCCAGCUGAAAUCUCUGAUUCUGUCCAUGGGUCUGAUUGACAGGCACAUUACAGUAGAGAAAGCCGUGCUUCUGUCUCGCCUGGAGGAAGAAUACCAGAUUCAGCGGUGGGGCAGUGUGGAGUGGGCCCAUGACUAUGAUCUGUGCGAGCUGCGUGCUCGCACGGCCGCUGGGACUCUCUUUGUUCACCUCUGUUCAGAGAGCUCAACUGUAAAACACAAGCUGUUGCAGGACUGAGGCUGCUGGGCUGGGCACAGGAGGAGAAUGCCCAGCUGUGAAUUGCUGGCAUGACCCAGUGAGGGCAACCACCCUCCUGCCACCACGUCUUUCCUGGGAUCAGCCUCGUGCUGAGGAGCUGCGACUUUGUGGGCAACUCCUUGCUUGGACUGCCUGCCGCAGUGCAGCGCCAGCAGUUUUGAGCCCACAAGGAGGAAAGGUCAAGGUGAGCUUCCUCUGCAUCCCCCAGACAGCAGCUCUGUCCAUUACCGGUGUCUGUAACUCAUCAGAGGAGCUCUCACGAAAGAAACAGCUUCCUGGGCAGGGUGCGGUACAGACAUACCCAGCAUAUGCCACAUGUCUUCAUAGCUGCCAGCUCCUGACACACACUUGUUAUGGAAAUCUGAAAACAGACUCCAUUGCAUCUGUUCUUCAUCCCUCAGUGUGCCUGUAUGUAACACCAGGGUCUCUCUGUUUGAUUAAAGGCACGCCCCUGCUAGAUACUGA